CCCAGUCCUGUAAUCACCUCUUAAUAUUUCUAUAUCUUCAGGGACAGCAGGAUACCUGUCACAAAGAUGGAAUUGGUCAUUCGUUGGUGGCAUGAGUAAAUGGAUUGAUGAAUGAUGGUACCCAUGUUCCUGGGAAUUAUAUUAAGCAAUUAUUGACUUUGAAAAAAAAGAAUCCCAAACAUUGCUACUAUGAUGGGCAACUGAUGGUCAGACUCCAGUGGUUCUUCAAAACUUUCUAGGAGGUAAACAAGAUGAAAGGGAAAGCACACAAAUUUGCUGGAAUUUGGAAAACACGAACCCUGGAAUUUGGAGGAGUCACUUCCACUGGAAAAUACUUUUAUAUUAUUUAUAGUAAGUAGAGAAUGCUUAAAAAUCAUUAGUAUCAUUUCAUAUGGCUGGAUAAAUAAUAAUU
Molecule: long non-coding RNA, 412 nt
Filed under: Pan troglodytes (chimpanzee)
Lineage: Eukaryota; Metazoa; Chordata; Mammalia; Primates; Hominidae
Description: lncRNA (ENSPTRG00000053594.1)
Source: RNAcentral